RNAcentral lists this ribosomal RNA (426 nucleotides) under uncultured bacterium. RNAcentral's name for it is "bacterial SSU rRNA". It matches the Rfam family "Bacterial small subunit ribosomal RNA", at positions 359 to 776 of the family's 1533-position model. The record is from RNAcentral.
GAGGCUUCGGCAAUGGGGGAAACCCUGACCGAGCGACGCCGCGUGAGGGAUGACGCCCUUCGGGGUGUAAACCUCUUUUCUGAGGGAAGAAACUCGGCGGAGUGAACAACUCCGUCGACUGACGGUACCUCAGGAAUAAGCUCCGGCCAACUCCGUUCCCGACGCCGCGGUAACACGGGGGGAGCAAACGUUGUUCGGAAUCACUGGGCGUAAAGGGCGCGUAGGCGGCCUCGUAAGUGGUGUGUGAAAUGUCCUGGCUCAACCAGGGAAUUGCGCUCCAAAUUGCGAGGCUUGAGGGCAGUAGAGGAAGCUGGAAUUCCAGGUGUAGCGGUGAAAUGCGUAGAUAUCUGGAGGAACACCGUUGGCGAAGGCGAGCUUCUGGGCUGUCUCUGACGCUGAGGCGCGAAAGCUGGGGGAGCAAACAGG